GGGCUCGUGGUGUAGCCUGGCCUAACACGCCGGCCUGUCGAGCCGGAGAUCGCGGGUUCAAAUCCCGUCGAGCCCGCCA
This 79-nucleotide transfer RNA is filed under the name Candidatus Poribacteria bacterium. Its description in RNAcentral is "tRNA-Asp". It matches the Rfam family "tRNA". From Rfam's summary of the family: Transfer RNA (tRNA) molecules are approximately 80 nucleotides in length. Their secondary structure includes four short double-helical elements and three loops (D, anti-codon, and T loops). RNAcentral also lists the same sequence under 1 other name. Lineage: Bacteria; Candidatus Poribacteria. The record is from RNAcentral.